RNAcentral lists this ribosomal RNA (492 nucleotides) under uncultured bacterium. RNAcentral's name for it is "partial 16S ribosomal RNA". It matches the Rfam family "Bacterial small subunit ribosomal RNA", at positions 29 to 507 of the family's 1533-position model. The record is from RNAcentral.
AGUGAACGCUGGCGGUAGGCCUAACACAUGCAAGUCGAACGGCAGCACAGUAAGAGCUUGCUCUUACGGGUGGCGAGUGGCGGACGGGUGAGGAAUACAUCGGAAUCUACUUUUUCGUGGGGGAUAACGUAGGGAAACUUAAGCUAAUACCGCAUACGACCUACGGGUGAAAGCAGGGGAUAUUCGGACCUUGUGCGAUUGAAUGAGCCGAUGUCGGAUUAGCUAGUUGGCGGGGUAAAGGCCCACCAAGGCGACGAUCCGUAGCUGGUCUGAGAGGAUGGUCAGCCACACUGGAACUUAGACACGGUCCAGACGCCUACGGGAGGGAGCAGUGGGGAAUAUUGGGCAAUGGUCGCAAGCCUGAUCCAGCCAUACCGCGUGGGUUAAGAAGACCUUCGGUUUGUAAAGCCCGUUUGUUGGGAAAGAAAAGCAGCAGGUUAAUACCCCGCUGUUCUGACGGUACCCAAUGAAUAAGCACUGGCUAACUUCGUG